Molecule: long non-coding RNA, 1022 nt
Organism: Peromyscus eremicus (cactus mouse)
Lineage: Eukaryota; Metazoa; Chordata; Mammalia; Rodentia; Cricetidae
Exons: 2
Source: RefSeq, a predicted model, not a curated record
CAAGCAAAGAUAAUUGUUUUUCAAAACCAGGGGAUCCCCUGAGGUGCCCAGCAGUGCUUCCAGACUGCACAGUGAGGAUAAAUCAGAAACAACAGCAGCUCAAAGGAGACAGGAUGAGUGAAGCCUCAGUCCUCCCAGAAAUGAAGCGCUGACCUAUGCCAGCCAGGGAAGAAUUCCAGGAAGCCAAGGUUCUAGUCAAGCUGUCCCUUAGCAACCAGCAGAGUGCCAACACUUGAGAACAGGAGUGAGUCCUCUUCCUUCCCGCUUUCACGACCACAUGUUUGCAUAUGGCAGGUGCUUAGACUAGAUCCAUUGGACAGAAUCAAAGCUUUUUUUUUUUUUUUUAUCUGUGGCUACACUUUUCCAGAGAGUCUGCUCCACUGCCUCUUGGAAUAUUUUCAAGAUUCCAGAGGCUAAAAAUAUCAUCCCAAAGCUAUUGAAGGACUCUUCCAUGUAAGGAGCCGAGUUGAGACUAUGGAAGCUGAAAGUUUAUGACCACCAGGUGGCGCCCUAACCCACACAUCUCCGGAUGCCUUUUUAAGAUGGAAGCAUUCUCUUCUCUUCCUCCUGUUGUCUCCCUGCUCACAGAAAUGCCCUCUUCAGUCCAGCAGCCGGAUUCAGCUGCUAGACCCUAGUCAAGGGCACUAAGUACAUCCCUCCAGGUGCUUCUGAGAUAGGAUCAGAAUGUGCAGGUUUGGAUUCCAGCAUGACACAGACUGUUUCUUUGGGCAAAUCACUUUUCUGGGUCCCUGCAAGAAUAGAAAACAAAACACAGAUAAUACGUAAAAAUACCUGGAUUGUAGAGGUGGAGUCAGCUCCAUCCGGGUCCUCCUGAGUCUCCAGCAGCUCCUGGAACAUGGUUAGCAAUUUCAACCUUCUGAGUCUGCUGUCCCUGUCAGUGAGUGGAUCAGCGCUAAGAACAAGUAUUCCACAGUGUUGGUAACUAACCAUCAACUGGAACAGUAAAUACAACUUCUUGCCACAGGGCCGAACACAGUAAACAUUCUGUUCCCCAAACCACA